CAGGGCGUAGCUAAGCAGCCAAAGCGUCGGCUCGGGGAGCCGGAGAUCGCAGGUGCAAGUCCUGUCGCCCUGA
This 73-nucleotide transfer RNA is filed under the name Myxococcales bacterium. RNAcentral's name for it is "tRNA-Pro". It matches the Rfam family "tRNA". From Rfam's summary of the family: Transfer RNA (tRNA) molecules are approximately 80 nucleotides in length. Their secondary structure includes four short double-helical elements and three loops (D, anti-codon, and T loops). The record is from RNAcentral. Lineage: Bacteria; Pseudomonadati; Myxococcota; Myxococcia; Myxococcales.